GGGAAACAGGAGAGGGGGCCAGCCCCAGGACCCAAAUCAAUGUUAUGGGGCC
Molecule: non-coding RNA, 52 nt
Organism: Mus musculus (house mouse)
Lineage: Eukaryota; Metazoa; Chordata; Mammalia; Rodentia; Muridae
Source: Rfam